GGAGAAAAAGGCAGAAAUAGCUGCUGACCAAGAGCUGGCUGGUCUAAGGGCCGGUGAGUGGGGGCCAGGAGGCAGCGGUGACCUGAACCGAUGGGAAGCUGGGCUUGGCCUGGCUGGGCCCCCCAGGGGGCAGAGCCCCAGCCAGCCUGGAUACUACUGUGGAAACUUGCAGCACUGUGACCCACCAGGCUGGAGGGUACUGCACACUGGAGGACGAGGGCAGAGGUGUCCUCUCUAUUCCUCAACCCUGCAGACUCAACCUCCAAAGCCUGCCACCAGAAGCUGAGGCUGGUGGGGAAGCUGGGCACUGACCCUGCUGCUGCCACGAUCAUGUCAAGCCCUCCCUCCGCUCCCCAGUGGGCCAGAGAUGAGUGGGUAGCAUCUCAGUGCAGCGGCAAGAAUAGACAAUAACCACAAGGAUAUUGGGAAAAUAUAUUUUAAAUUCAUCAAUUGCUCAAGUCAAGUACUUUUCUUUUUCUUUCCAGUUAUAAAUCUAGAAGGGGGAAAAACGGAGAGAAAGAACAAAAAGAAAAAAGAAAAGCGAUCCACAGAGAGAAAGGCAGAGCCUCGCUGAAGCUCCAGCUGGAAAGGCAAGCCAGCAGGCUGACCCUGCAGGAGGCUGGCCACUCUAGCCCAGGGCUGCUCACUCAGACUUAACCUCAUGGGGCAAAAACUGGAGGUCCUUUAGUAAUUAAGUAAUUUCAAGGAUUUUUUUUUUAAAAAGAAAAUGCAUUUUUUUCUUUUUGACGGCCUUCCCUUUCAACAUUUUCCCUUCUAGCCCUGUCGUUGCCAUCCGUUUUAAUCCACAAACUAAUUGUAAUCCCAUUAAGGCAGAUAUAAUUUUAUUACUAUUCACGGUUCAUCAAGCUAAUAAUAAUAACUGUUACUGCCAAACUGAAAAAUAAAAGCAGCAAAUAAUAUUUCUGAUGUUUAGAAUAAACUGUAAACAAAAGCAAGCCGACCUGCGAGGGUGACCCAGCAGGUCCACGCGCAGUCCCUCAGGCUCCCCCAGCUCCGCCCACGCUGGUCAGUGAUUUCCCCGCCAGCUGCGGCUUCGCUCCAGAGACUGGGUCAGCACUACCAAGGACAGACCCUCCGGGAAGGGGACAUGAGUCGGCCGCAACACGGGGGCGUACCCGGAAUGAUCAGAAUAACUCAGGGUCUCUGGUCUUGAAGCUAAAGCGUACGGACUCGCCUGCACCGAAAUCCCGAGCGGGGCGCCGCUCUGAGUUCCCGCGGUGCGGGAUGCGCGGUCCGCACUCGGGCCACGCUUAGCCCGGCGUUAGCAGGAUACCAGAGGCACUUGUUAAAGCGCAUGCAUCCCCUGCAAACCCAUUCUCGCCCUGACACUUCAAGGCUUUAUAUAGAAACAGGAUUUUCUCGUCUUACACUAGCAGUUCCCAUUAGCGCUCCCCGGGCGCACACUGCUCUCUAAUCCGCGGGCCGGGCGCGCCCUGGCCCCCUCCCCCAGCCACACAGUCGUUCUGUCCCUGCAGAAAGCGCCACGGUGUCUCAGACGCUGAACGUCUUAACGAGUCCAUUCUUUUGAAUGUCGUCCCCUACUCAGCCCCAGUGGGACCGCCCCCCCCCCCCCCCAGCAUUGUACCACAACCCCAGACUAGCGUCCGGGAGCUCCGAGCGCCCCUCGCCCGCCACCGGCAUCACCUGGGCCGCUACGCCGCAGUGCCUGGCCUGCUGUCCCCAAGCCCGGAGCUUCCCACGCCUGCCCGGGAUCACCUAACCAAGGCUGGUCUCCGCGUGGCACCUGGGUCGACCCUGCAGGGAAGGAGCACCGACCAAGCACAGCUCAGCCUUCUCCUGCGUCUGGUCCCGGCAGACCCGGGUCCUCGGGUCUUCCAUCCCCAUCUCCGGCAGGGCUGGCUUAAAAUGACCCUCCUCUCCCUUUUCUUCUACCCCUCCCAUCGCGGAAGUCUGCUCCCGGGCGAAAUCGGAGACAAUUUCAAACUCUGAGAGGAGCAACCGAGCAAGCGAAACAAACUGUACACCAUCAUGCACGUGCGACCAAAGUCUCUCGGCCCUCCUCCAUUUCGAAUACUUCUCUCCUUAUUUUCGAAAUACCCAUUGUUUUAAUACUUCGUCUCAGUUCCAAUACAACGGAGAUAUUCUCGACUGUGAACUUUGCAGACAGUCAAAACCUUUUUUUUUAAAAGCCAUCCACCGUGACAACAAAGCGAUUAAGAUGUUUUCUAUUUCGUAAAUACCAUUUAAAAUUGCUAUAUUUUAUGCUCUGGGUUCUACACUGUCUUAUUUGCACACUAUUUUGUGUCUGAUUUAAUCUAUAACCGAAAACAUAAUGUAUUAAGUGAAUACAUAUUUGCUCAGCUGAUAAGCUUUUUUAAUAUUUAUUCGGAGAAUUUUGCAUUGUAAAUAAACGAGACUACACAAAGA
Arvicanthis niloticus (Nile rat) is the source of this 2409-nucleotide non-coding RNA. The record is from RefSeq and is a predicted model, not a curated record. NCBI's taxonomy places the organism in Eukaryota, Metazoa, Chordata, Mammalia, Rodentia, Muridae.